RNAcentral lists this ribosomal RNA (626 nucleotides) under Enterococcus faecalis. Its description in RNAcentral is "bacterial SSU rRNA". It matches the Rfam family "Bacterial small subunit ribosomal RNA", at positions 103 to 715 of the family's 1533-position model. Lineage: Bacteria; Bacillati; Bacillota; Bacilli; Lactobacillales; Enterococcaceae. The record is from RNAcentral.
CGGGUGAGUAACACGUGGGUAACCUACCCAUCAGAGGGGGAUAACACUUGGAAACAGGUGCUAAUACCGCAUAACAGUUUAUGCCGCAUGGCAUAAGAGUGAAAGGCGCUUUCGGGUGUCGCUGAUGGAUGGACCCGCGGUGCAUUAGCUAGUUGGUGAGGUAACGGCUCACCAAGGCCACGAUGCAUAGCCGACCUGAGAGGGUGAUCGGCCACACUGGGACUGAGACACGGCCCAGACUCCUACGGGAGGCAGCAGUAGGGAAUCUUCGGCAAUGGACGAAAGUCUGACCGAGCAACGCCGCGUGAGUGAAGAAGGUUUUCGGAUCGUAAAACUCUGUUGUUAGAGAAGAACAAGGACGUUAGUAACUGAACGUCCCCUGACGGUAUCUAACCAGAAAGCCACGGCUAACUACGUGCCAGCAGCCGCGGUAAUACGUAGGUGGCAAGCGUUGUCCGGAUUUAUUGGGCGUAAAGCGAGCGCAGGCGGUUUCUUAAGUCUGAUGUGAAAGCCCCCGGCUCAACCGGGGAGGGUCAUUGGAAACUGGGAGACUUGAGUGCAGAAGAGGAGAGUGGAAUUCCAUGUGUAGCGGUGAAAUGCGUAGAUAUAUGGAGGAACACCAGUGG